GGGGGUGACAGCUCAGCGAUAAAGUGUGUGCUUAACAUGCACAAGGUCCUGGGUUCAAUCCCCAGUACUUUCA
Molecule: transfer RNA, 73 nt
Organism: Camelus ferus (Wild Bactrian camel)
Lineage: Eukaryota; Metazoa; Chordata; Mammalia; Artiodactyla; Camelidae
Rfam family: tRNA
About the family: Transfer RNA (tRNA) molecules are approximately 80 nucleotides in length. Their secondary structure includes four short double-helical elements and three loops (D, anti-codon, and T loops).
Source: Rfam